This 720-nucleotide long non-coding RNA is filed under the name Ananas comosus (pineapple). Its description in RNAcentral is "long non-coding RNA (ACOM_LNC031449)". Lineage: Eukaryota; Viridiplantae; Streptophyta; Magnoliopsida; Poales; Bromeliaceae. The record is from RNAcentral.
UCUUUAACUUCUUUUACAAAAUCUCAAAUAUUUUUUCAAAUUAUCUAUACAUCAAAAAUUUUUUUCUUAUAGUUUUAUUUUUUUUUUCUCUUUAUUUUUUGUUUAUGUUUGAAGUAUGAUAGUAACGAAAAUAGUCGAAUAUUAUAAUUUAAAGAAAAGGAAGAAAAAAUUUUAAUAUAAAAACUAAAGUUAAAUAUCGAAUAUUAUCUAUCCGCCGCAACACGCGGGUCACUACACUAGUAUAUAAUAAAUAUAUAUUUUAAAUCUAAAUUUCAAUUUUAAGUCAUAAUAUUUAUUUUCAAAUUUUAAACUUCAAAUUUUAAAAUUUUUAAAUCUCUAAACUCUAUGAAAUUAAUUAAUUAAUUUUAUUCAUAAUUAAUUAAAUAUAUUAUAUUUAAUUAAUUUUAUUAAUAAUAUGCGUAAUAAAUUGCAUAAUAAAAUCUAACCUGAUAGAUGCAAUUUAAAUCACGUAAAAUAUCACUGUGUAAAAAAAUACAAAAUUUAAAUUUCAGGACUAAAAUUUUAAAAAUAUAGUGUAUAUGUGUAUAUAUAAAAUUAAUUUUAUUAAACAAGUUAUUCUACAAUCUUAUUUUUCUUCUAUUUAUUAAUUUUUUUAAAAUUAUUUUGAUAAAUUUAUCUCAAAUUCUUUUCAUAUAAAUUUUUAUAAAAUAAAUUGUUGUAUAAAUUUACUUUGCGAAUAUACCAAUUUUAAUGACUUUU